Molecule: ribosomal RNA, 253 nt
Filed under: uncultured bacterium
Lineage: Bacteria
Description: partial 16S ribosomal RNA
Rfam family: Bacterial small subunit ribosomal RNA
Source: RNAcentral
UACAGAGGGUGCGAGCGUUGUCCGGAAUCACUGGGCGUAAAGGGCGCGUAGGCGGCUUUUCAAGCGUGCGGUGAAAGCUCGGGGCUUAACUCCGAGUCUGCCGUGCGAACUGGGAGGCUUGAGUCUGGUAGAGGUCGAUGGAAUUCCGGGUGUAGCGGUGGAAUGCGUAGAGAUCAGGAAGAACACCCGUGGCGAAAGCGGCUCUCUGGAACGGUACUGACGCUGAGACGCGAAAGCGUGGGGAGCGAACAGG